GUCAAUUUGGCCGAGUGGUCAAGGCGAUAUAUUAGAAAUCUGGCAAUGCCCGCGCAGGUUCGAACCUUGCAGUUGACG
Molecule: transfer RNA, 78 nt
Filed under: Marchantia polymorpha subsp. ruderalis
Lineage: Eukaryota; Viridiplantae; Streptophyta; Marchantiopsida; Marchantiales; Marchantiaceae
Rfam family: tRNA
About the family: Transfer RNA (tRNA) molecules are approximately 80 nucleotides in length.
Source: Rfam by way of RNAcentral